This 450-nucleotide ribosomal RNA is filed under the name uncultured bacterium. RNAcentral describes it as "partial 16S ribosomal RNA". It matches the Rfam family "Bacterial small subunit ribosomal RNA", at positions 354 to 796 of the family's 1533-position model. The record is from RNAcentral.
GUGGGGAAUAUUGGACAAUGGGCGAAAGCCUGAUCCAGCCAUGCCGCGUGUGUGAAGAAGGUCUUCGGAUUGUAAAGCACUUUAAGUUGAGAGGAAGGGCAGUAAGUUAAUACCUUGCUGUUUUGACGUUACCAACAGAAUAAGCACCGGCUAACUUCGUGCCAGCAGCCGCGGUAAUACGAAGGGUGCAAGCGUUAAUCGGAAUUACUGGGCGUAAAGCGCGCGUAGGUGGUUCAGCAAGUUGAAGGUGAAAUCCCCGGGCUCAACCUGGGAACUGCCUCCAAAACUACUGAGCUAGAGUACGGUAGAGGGUAGUGGAAUUUCCUGUGUAGCGGUGAAAUGCGUAGAUAUAGGAAGGAACACCAGUGGCGAAGGCGACUACCUGGACUGAUACUGACACUGAGGUGCGAAAGCGUGGGGAGCAAACAGGAUUAGAAACCCCUGUAGUCC